This 600-nucleotide ribosomal RNA is filed under the name uncultured soil bacterium. RNAcentral's name for it is "bacterial SSU rRNA". It matches the Rfam family "Bacterial small subunit ribosomal RNA", at positions 34 to 614 of the family's 1533-position model. The record is from RNAcentral.
CGCUGGCGGCGUGCCUAAUACAUGCAAGUCGAGCGAAUGGAUUGAGAGCUUGCUCUCAAGAAGUUAGCGGCGGACGGGUGAGUAACACGUGGGUAACCUGCCCAUAAGACUGGGAUAACUCCGGGAAACCGGGGCUAAUACCGGAUAACAUUUUGAACUGCAUGGUUCGAAAUUGAAAGGCGGCUUCGGCUGUCACUUAUGGAUGGACCCGCGUCGCAUUAGCUAGUUGGUGAGGUAACGGCUCACCAAGGCAACGAUGCGUAGCCGACCUGAGAGGGUGAUCGGCCACACUGGGACUGAGACACGGCCCAGACUCCUACGGGAGGCAGCAGUAGGGAAUCUUCCGCAAUGGACGAAAGUCUGACGGAGCAACGCCGCGUGAGUGAUGAAGGCUUUCGGGUCGUAAAACUCUGUUGUUAGGGAAGAACAAGUGCUAGUUGAAUAAGCUGGCACCUUGACGGUACCUAACCAGAAAGCCACGGCUAACUACGUGCCAGCAGCCGCGGUAAUACGUAGGUGGCAAGCGUUAUCCGGAAUUAUUGGGCGUAAAGCGCGCGCAGGUGGUUUCUUAAGUCUGAUGUGAAAGCCCACGGCUCAACC